GAGGAAGAGGUAGAGGAGGAGGAGGCCGAAGAGGCCAUGCACGGACCCAUAUUUCUGAUGAAAUAAGAGCAACUUUGGUGGACCAUGUCAUCAACCAUGGCCUGACUAUGAGGGAAGCUGGGCAGAGAGUCCACCCACAUCUAAGCCGCUUCACAGUGGCAUCUGUAAUACGAACAUUCCGACUAGAAAACAGGUAUGUCUUCACCUCCAUACCUUCUGCUCUACUCAGAUGGUUCCAUAGCACUGUUCUACAGUAUAUCACAUUACCAUAUCAAGUGUACGGGGUGCUAAUGCUCCUUUUGCAGCCAAAGUGGCUGAUUCCUCAUAUUGAAGUACAGUGUUGUACAGUGGAUGACACAGUACAUACAGUAAAGUACUGUAUGAAAAAUAAGCAAACCGAUGACAAUAUGUGGUUGUAUUCCUCCAGAAUGACCCGAAGACCUUCUGGGGGUGGACGGCAACGCCUGUUCACACAACAGCAGGAACUUGCCGUUGUGGACCUAGUGAGGGCAGACAAUGCCAUCCGUCUCCACCAGCUACGACGGACAAUACUUGCAGACAGGCGAGUGUUCAGCAACAUAGACCAUGUGAGCAUCACCACCAUCAGACGCAUCUUGGGUAAACACAGCAUCACCAUGAAGCAGCUCUACAGAGUCCCAUUCGAGAGGAACAGUGACAGGGUCAAAGGACUUCGAGCUGAAUAUGUACGGAGGAUCAUGGCCAUGGAUGGAGCUGCACAGCCUCAUGAAUACAUUUUCAUUGAUGAAGCUGGAUUCGACCUGAGCAAAACAAGACGACGGGGUCGUAAUGUGAUUGGCCACAGGGCAAUUGUGCACGUCCCAGGGCAGCGCGGGGGAAACAUCACAUUAUGUGCCGCCAUAUGCCUUCGAGGACUUCUGCACCAUCAUGCAAUGCUAGGUCCAUACAAUAGCCAACACAUACUCACAUUUCUAGAUGCUCUCCAUAACAUAGUUGUACAGAACAGAGCAGAUCAGCCCAGGUUUGUGGUGAUAUGGGAUAAUGUCAGUUUCCAUCGGGCUGCUCUGGUCCAGGCCUGGUUCACCGACCACAAUCAAUUUGAGGUGGUAUACUUGCCCCCUUACUCACCAUUUUUAAACCCUAUUGAGGAAUUUUUUUCGGCUUGGAGAUGGCGAGUAUAUGACCGCCAACCACAUGCCCGCAUGCCUCUUCUGCAGGCAAUGGAACAGGCCUGCGGCGACAUUGAGGUGACAGCGAUCCAUGGAUGGUUUCGGCAUGCAAGAGGGUAUUUUCCCCGGUGCCUAGCGGGAGAGGACAUAGCUUGCGAUGUUGAUGAGGUCCUGUGGCCAGACCCCAACAGACGGCGGGAUCCAUGAGCCCACUUAUGCACACUUGUCAUGGUUUUUUGUGUUUACAGUAUAGUGUUUUUUCUAUUGCAGUAUUAUUGUGUUGUGGUUUUUUUUUUUUUGCUUCAUCUGAAUUCAUGGUACUGCGAUGUACACUAUUGAGUAGGUCUAUUUGCGUUUUUGGUUGUUUGGAAAUGUGUCUCCUGUAAAUGUGCCUUCUGAAUACACAAUGGAAAUCAAGGACUGCAGUGUUU
This is a long non-coding RNA of Astatotilapia calliptera (eastern happy), 1579 nucleotides long. NCBI's taxonomy places the organism in Eukaryota, Metazoa, Chordata, Actinopteri, Cichliformes, Cichlidae. The record is from Ensembl.